This is a non-coding RNA of Castor canadensis (American beaver), 261 nucleotides long. The record is from RefSeq and is a predicted model, not a curated record. NCBI's taxonomy places the organism in Eukaryota, Metazoa, Chordata, Mammalia, Rodentia, Castoridae.
GCCUUGAAAGAAAGCAGAUGUACCUUCCUCUGUCUGGAUUGGAGUUAGAGGGAUGGAACCCAUGCCUGGAGAAUCUUUAAAUCAUCUUUCAUAAAAAGGGUCUCACUAUGUAGCCAGGACUGGCCUUGAACUUGCAAUCUCCUUGCAUUAGCCUCCCAAGGCUUGCAAUAUAGUUUUGGAGGCUAGAAGUCCACAACAUUAUGCAGGCACUGGAAAGUCCUCCCUACCCCCACAGGCUGUAUCAUACUACAAUGGGAGUGU